This 253-nucleotide ribosomal RNA is filed under the name uncultured bacterium. RNAcentral's name for it is "partial 16S ribosomal RNA". It matches the Rfam family "Bacterial small subunit ribosomal RNA", at positions 524 to 776 of the family's 1533-position model. The record is from RNAcentral.
UACAGAGGUCCCAAGCGUUGUUCGGAUUCACUGGGCGUAAAGGGUGCGUAGGUGGUGAGGUAAGUCGGAUGUGAAAUCUCCGGGCUCAACCCGGAAAUGGCAUUGGAAACUACCUUGCUUGAGGAUUUGAGGGGGGAUUGGAAUACUUGGUGUAGCAGUGAAAUGCGUAGAUAUCAAGUGGAACACCAGUGGCGAAGGCGAGUCCCUGGAAAAUACCUGACACUGAGGCACGAAAGCUAGGGGAGCAAACAGG